Molecule: RNase P RNA, 212 nt
Filed under: Bacillota bacterium
Lineage: Bacteria; Bacillati; Bacillota
Description: partial RNase P RNA component class B
Rfam family: Bacterial RNase P class B
About the family: Ribonuclease P (RNase P) is a ubiquitous endoribonuclease, found in archaea, bacteria and eukarya as well as chloroplasts and mitochondria. Its best characterised activity is the generation of mature 5'-ends of tRNAs by cleaving the 5'-leader elements of precursor-tRNAs.
Source: RNAcentral
CGGCCCAGGCGAAUGCUGGUUUAACCAGAGGAAAGUCCAUGCUCGCACAUCCUGUGAUGGAUGUAGUGAUUGCGCUAGGUUAAUCAAUAAACCUAGGCACGCCCGGAGUGCGUGACGGCGUGAGGAAAGUCUCUUUGAGAUGAUUCUCCCCAAGGUGCCACAGAGACGAGCUUGUUGGCGACAACAAGGUGAAACGCGGUAAACCCCACAAG